ACUCCUACGGGAGGCAGCAGUGGGGAAUAUUGCACAAUGGGCGCAAGCCUGAUGCAGCCAUGCCGCGUGUAUGAAGAAGGCCUUCGGGUUGUAAAGUACUUUCAGCAGUGAGGAAGGGCGGUACGUUUAAUAGCGGUGCUCGUUUGACGUUAGCUGCAGAAGAAGCACCGGCUAACUCCGUGCCAGCAGCCGCGGUAAUACGGAGGGUGCGAGCGUUAAUCGGAAUUACUGGGCGUAAAGCGCAUGCAGGUGGUUUGUUAAGUCAGAUGUGAAAGCCCGGGGCUCAACCUCGGAAAUAGCAUUUGAAACUGGCAGACAGAGUACUNUAGAGGGGGNAGAAUUUCAGGUGUAGCGGUGAAAUGCGUAGAGAUCU
This 373-nucleotide ribosomal RNA is filed under the name uncultured bacterium. RNAcentral's name for it is "bacterial SSU rRNA". It matches the Rfam family "Bacterial small subunit ribosomal RNA", at positions 335 to 699 of the family's 1533-position model. The record is from RNAcentral.